UCGAACGAAGCAAUUAAAAUGAAGUUUUCGGAUGGAUUUUUGAUUGACUGAGUGGCGGACGGGUGAGUAACGCGUGGAUAACCUGCCUCACACUGGGGGAUAACAGUUAGAAAUGACUGCUAAUACCGCAUAAGCGCACAGUACCGCAUGGUACGGUGUGAAAAACUCCGGUGGUGUGAGAUGGAUCCGCGUCUGAUUAGCCAGUUGGCGGGGUAACGGCCCACCAAAGCGACGAUCAGUAGCCGACCUGAGAGGGUGACCGGCCACAUUGGGACUGAGACACGGCCCAAACUCCUACGGGAGGCAGCAGUGGGGAAUAUUGCACAAUGGGCGAAAGCCUGAUGCAGCGACGCCGCGUGAGUGAAGAAGUAUUUCGGUAUGUAAAGCUCUAUCAGCAGGGAAGAAAAUGACGGUACCUGACUAAGAAGCCCCGGCUAACUACGUGCCAGCAGCCGCGGUAAUACGUAGGGGGCAAGCGUUAUCCGGAUUUACUGGGUGUAAAGGGAGCGUAGACGGCGAAGCAAGUCUGAAGUGAAACCCAGGGCUCAACCCUGGGACUGCUUUGGAAACUGUUUUGCUAGAGUGUCGGAGAGGUAAGUGGAAUUCCUAGUGUAGCGUGAAAUGCGUAGAUAUUAGGAGGACACCAGUGGCG
This 652-nucleotide ribosomal RNA is filed under the name uncultured Lachnospiraceae bacterium. RNAcentral's name for it is "bacterial SSU rRNA". It matches the Rfam family "Bacterial small subunit ribosomal RNA", at positions 47 to 717 of the family's 1533-position model. The record is from RNAcentral. Lineage: Bacteria; Bacillati; Bacillota; Clostridia; Lachnospirales; Lachnospiraceae.